AACUGGUCCAAAGGUAGUAAGUUAUCUCGAUUAUUCACAGUUACAGAUUAAACUCUUGUUCUAUUCUUUCCCCCUUCUAACUACUACACUUGACUAGUCUUAA
Molecule: Y RNA, 103 nt
Filed under: Saimiri boliviensis boliviensis (Bolivian squirrel monkey)
Lineage: Eukaryota; Metazoa; Chordata; Mammalia; Primates; Cebidae
Description: Y RNA (ENSSBOG00000012198.1)
Rfam family: Y RNA
About the family: Y RNAs are components of the Ro ribonucleoprotein particle (Ro RNP), in association with Ro60 and La proteins. The Y RNAs and Ro60 and La proteins are well conserved, but the function of the Ro RNP is not known.
Source: Rfam by way of RNAcentral